AGAGUUUGAUCCUGGCUCAGGAUGAACGCUAGCGGCAGGCCUAAUACAUGCAAGUCGAACGGUGAUAGCAAUAUCAUAGUGGCGCACGGGUGCGUAACACGUAUGCAACCUACCUAUUAUUGGGGGAUAGCCUUUGGAAACGGAGAUUAAUACCGCAUAAUACGAUUGACUGGCAUCGGUUGAUUGUUAAAGCUUAGGCGAUAAUAGAUGGGCAUGCGUCCAAUUAGUUAGUUGGUUAGGUAACGGCUGACCAAGACGAUGAUUGGUAGGGGAUCUGAGAGGAUAAUCCCCCACACUGGCACUGAGAUACGGGCCAGACUCCUACGGGAGGCAGCAGUAGGGAAUAUUGGGCAAUGGGCGGAAGCCUGACCCAGCCAUGCCGCGUGCAGGAAGAAGGCGUUAUGCGUUGUAAACUGCUUUUUUAUAGGAAGAAGGAUCCCUUGCGAGGGAAGGUGACGGUACUAUAAGAAUAAGCACCGGCUAACUCCGUGCCAGCAGCCGCGGUAAUACGGAGGGUGCGAGCGUUGUCCGGAUUUAUUGGGUUUAAAGGGUGCGUAGGCGGUUUAUUAAGUCAGUGGUGAAAGACGGUCGCUCAACGAUUGCAGUGCCAUUGAUACUGGUA
Molecule: ribosomal RNA, 622 nt
Filed under: uncultured bacterium
Lineage: Bacteria
Description: bacterial SSU rRNA
Rfam family: Bacterial small subunit ribosomal RNA
Source: RNAcentral